UGGUAAUAGUGGCACAGAGAGCAGCUCAAGCUAUUGAGUGCUGUCUCAAGAAAGAAAGAGACUGCAUGUGACUCAGAGAAGAGGGUUUUCUACAAGAUGACCUUAACUCCAUGAUGGGCCUCCUGAAUGCUGGGACUAAAGCAAAGUGAAAUGAUGAUGAAAACACUGUAUGACCUGCUGGAAGAUCUCAUGAGGAAUUCCGGUCGUUAAAGGGUGCCUCCCCAACUCUGGACCAGAAAAGGCAAUUUGAUAAAUGGAGCACUGGAAGAAAUAUCUGUGAACCAGAAUGGCAACUUCCAGGUACCC
RNAcentral lists this long non-coding RNA (306 nucleotides) under Cricetulus griseus (Chinese hamster). RNAcentral's name for it is "lncRNA (ENSCGRG00000025796.1)". The record is from RNAcentral. Lineage: Eukaryota; Metazoa; Chordata; Mammalia; Rodentia; Cricetidae.